UACCGGAUAACAACACUAGACGCAUGUCUAGAGUUUAAAAGAUGGUUCUGCUAUCACUCUUGGAUGGACCUGCGGUGCAUUAGCUAGUUGGUAAGGUAACGGCUUACCAAGGCAAUGAUGCAUAGCCGAGUUGAGAGACUGAUCGGCCACAUUGGGACUGAGACACGGCCCAAACUCCUACGGGAGGCAGCAGUAGGGAAUCUUCCACAAUGGACGCAAGUCUGAUGGAGCAACGCCGCGUGAGUGAAGAAGGGUUUCGGCUCGUAAAGCUCUGUUGGUAGUGAAGAAAGAUAGAGGUAGUAACUGGCCUUUAUUUGACGGUAAUUACCUAGAAAGUCACGGCUAACUACGUGCCAGCAGCCGCGGUAAUACGUAGGUGGCAAGCGUUGUCCGGAUUUAUUGGGCGUAAAGCGAGUGCAGGCGGUUCAAUAAGUCUGAUGUGAAAGCCUUCGGCUCAACCGGAGAAUUGCAUCAGAAACUGUUGAACUUGAGUGCAGAAGAGGAGAGUGGAACUCCAUGUGUAGCGGUGGAAUGCGUAGAUAUAUGGAAGAACACCAGUGGCGAAGGCGGCUCUCUGGUCUGCAACUGACGCUGAGGCUCGAAAGCAUGGGUAGCGAACAGGAUUAGAUACCCUGGUAGUCCAUGCCGUAAACGAU
RNAcentral lists this ribosomal RNA (656 nucleotides) under uncultured bacterium. RNAcentral describes it as "bacterial SSU rRNA". It matches the Rfam family "Bacterial small subunit ribosomal RNA", at positions 167 to 810 of the family's 1533-position model. The record is from RNAcentral.